RNAcentral lists this ribosomal RNA (430 nucleotides) under uncultured beta proteobacterium. RNAcentral's name for it is "bacterial SSU rRNA". It matches the Rfam family "Bacterial small subunit ribosomal RNA", at positions 1069 to 1499 of the family's 1533-position model. The record is from RNAcentral. Lineage: Bacteria; Pseudomonadati; Pseudomonadota; Betaproteobacteria.
GAGAUGUUGGGUUAAGUCCCGCAACGAGCGCAACCCUUGUCAUUAGUUGCUACAUUUAGUUGGGCACUCUAAUGAGACUGCCGGUGACAAACCGGAGGAAGGUGGGGAUGACGUCAAGUCCUCAUGGCCCUUAUAGGUGGGGCUACACACGUCAUACAAUGGCUGGUACAAAGGGUUGCCAACCCGCGAGGGGGAGCUAAUCCCAUAAAACCAGUCGUAGUCCGGAUCGCAGUCUGCAACUCGACUGCGUGAAGUCGGAAUCGCUAGUAAUCGUGGAUCAGAAUGUCACGGUGGAUACGUUCCCGGGCCUUGUACACACCGCCCGUCACAUCACGAAAGCUGGCUGUACUAGAAGUGGCCGAGCUAACCCGCAAGGGAGGCAGGUCCCUAAGGUAUGGUCAGUGAUUGGGGUGAAGUCGUAACAAGGUAA